Molecule: ribosomal RNA, 1856 nt
Filed under: Escherichia coli
Lineage: Bacteria; Pseudomonadati; Pseudomonadota; Gammaproteobacteria; Enterobacterales; Enterobacteriaceae
Also listed under: 1 other name
Description: partial 23S ribosomal RNA
Rfam family: Bacterial large subunit ribosomal RNA
Source: RNAcentral
AAGGCCCAGACAGCCAGGAUGUUGGCUUAGAAGCAGCCAUCAUUUAAAGAAAGCGUAAUAGCUCACUGGUCGAGUCGGCCUGCGCGGAAGAUGUAACGGGGCUAAACCAUGCACCGAAGCUGCGGCAGCGACACUAUGUGUUGUUGGGUAGGGGAGCGUUCUGUAAGCCUGUGAAGGUGUACUGUGAGGUAUGCUGGAGGUAUCAGAAGUGCGAAUGCUGACAUAAGUAACGAUAAAGCGGGUGAAAAGCCCGCUCGCCGGAAGACCAAGGGUUCCUGUCCAACGUUAAUCGGGGCAGGGUGAGUCGACCCCUAAGGCGAGGCCGAAAGGCGUAGUCGAUGGGAAACAGGUUAAUAUUCCUGUACUUGGUGUUACUGCGAAGGGGGGACGGAGAAGGCUAUGUUGGCCGGGCGACGGUUGUCCCGGUUUAAGCGUGUAGGCUGGUUUUCCAGGCAAAUCCGGAAAAUCAAGGCUGAGGCGUGAUGACGAGGCACUACGGUGCUGAAGCAACAAAUGCCCUGCUUCCAGGAAAAGCCUCUAAGCAUCAGGUAACAUCAAAUCGUACCCCAAACCGACACAGGUGGUCAGGUAGAGAAUACCAAGGCGCUUGAGAGAACUCGGGUGAAGGAACUAGGCAAAAUGGUGCCGUAACUUCGGGAGAAGGCACGCUGAUAUGUAGGUGAAGUCCCUCGCGGAUGGAGCUGAAAUCAGUCGAAGAUACCAGCUGGCUGCAACUGUUUAUUAAAAACACAGCACUGUGCAAACACGAAAGUGGACGUAUACGGUGUGACGCCUGCCCGGUGCCGGAAGGUUAAUUGAUGGGGUCAGCGCAAGCGAAGCUCUUGAUCGAAGCCCCGGUAAACGGCGGCCGUAACUAUAACGGUCCUAAGGUAGCGAAAUUCCUUGUCGGGUAAGUUCCGACCUGCACGAAUGGCGUAAUGAUGGCCAGGCUGUCUCCACCCGAGACUCAGUGAAAUUGAACUCGCUGUGAAGAUGCAGUGUACCCGCGGCAAGACGGAAAGACCCCGUGAACCUUUACUAUAGCUUGACACUGAACAUUGAGCCUUGAUGUGUAGGAUAGGUGGGAGGCUUUGAAGUGUGGACGCCAGUCUGCAUGGAGCCGACCUUGAAAUACCACCCUUUAAUGUUUGAUGUUCUAACGUGGACCCGUAAUCCGGGUUGCGGACAGUGUCUGGUGGGUAGUUUGACUGGGGCGGUCUCCUCCUAAAGAGUAACGGAGGAGCACGAAGGUUGGCUAAUCCUGGUCGGACAUCAGGAGGUUAGUGCAAUGGCAUAAGCCAGCUUGACUGCGAGCGUGACGGCGCGAGCAGGUGCGAAAGCAGGUCAUAGUGAUCCGGUGGUUCUGAAUGGAAGGGCCAUCGCUCAACGGAUAAAAGGUACUCCGGGGAUAACAGGCUGAUACCGCCCAAGAGUUCAUAUCGACGGCGGUGUUUGGCACCUCGAUGUCGGCUCAUCACAUCCUGGGGCUGAAGUAGGUCCCAAGGGUAUGGCUGUUCGCCAUUUAAAGUGGUACGCGAGCUGGGUUUAGAACGUCGUGAGACAGUUCGGUCCCUAUCUGCCGUGGGCGCUGGAGAACUGAGGGGGGCUGCUCCUAGUACGAGAGGACCGGAGUGGACGCAUCACUGGUGUUCGGGUUGUCAUGCCAAUGGCACUGCCCGGUAGCUAAAUGCGGAAGAGAUAAGUGCUGAAAGCAUCUAAGCACGAAACUUGCCCCGAGAUGAGUUCUCCCUGACUCCUUGAGAGUCCUGAAGGAACGUUGAAGACGACGACGUUGAUAGGCCGGGUGUGUAAGCGCAGCGAUGCGUUGAGCUAACCGGUACUAAUGAACCGUGAGG